This 407-nucleotide ribosomal RNA is filed under the name uncultured bacterium. RNAcentral's name for it is "partial 16S ribosomal RNA". It matches the Rfam family "Bacterial small subunit ribosomal RNA", at positions 360 to 774 of the family's 1533-position model. The record is from RNAcentral.
AAUAUUGCGCAAUGGAGGGAACUCUGACGCAGCGACGCCGCGUGAGCGAUGAAGGUCUUCGGAUCGUAAAGCUCUGUCCUUGGGGAAGAAGGUCUUCGGACUUGACGGUACACAAGGAGGAAGCCCCGGCUACCUACGUGCCAGCAGCCGCGGUAAUACGUAGGGGGCAAGCGUUGUCCGGAAUUAUUGGGCGUAAAGGGUGCGUAGGCGGCCUUUUAAGUCAGAUGUGAAAGCCCACGGCUUAACCGUGGGACUGCAUUUGAAACUGGAGGGCUUGAGUAUCGGAGAGGGUAGUGGAAUUCCCAGUGUAGCGGUGGAAUGCGUAGAUAUUGGGAGGGACACCAGUGGCGAAGGCGGCUCACUGGCCUGUAACUGACGCUGAGGCUCGAAAGCGUGGGGAGCAAAUA